This 301-nucleotide ribosomal RNA is filed under the name uncultured bacterium. Its description in RNAcentral is "partial 16S ribosomal RNA". It matches the Rfam family "Bacterial small subunit ribosomal RNA", at positions 509 to 807 of the family's 1533-position model. The record is from RNAcentral.
CAGUAGCCACGGGAAUACAGAGGGUGCGAGCGUUAAUCGGAUUUACUGGGCGUAAAGCGUGCGUAGGCGGCUAAUUGAGUCGGAUGUGAAAUCCCCGAGCUUAACUUGGGAAUUGCAUUCGAUACUGGUUAGCUAGAGUGUGGGAGAGGAUGGUAGAAUUCCAGGUGUAGCGGUGAAAUGCGUAGAGAUCUGGAGGAAUACCGAUGGCGAAGGCAGCCAUCUGGCCUAAUACUGACGCUGAGGUACGAAAGCAUGGGGAGCAAACAGGAUUAGAGACCCGUGUAGUCCCUGUCUCUUAUAC